GACGUAGGGUCCAAGCGUUGUCCGGAUUUACUGGGCGUAAAGAGCGCGUAGGCGGUCUGUUAAGUGUAGAGUGAAAGCUCCGGGCUCAACCCGGAAAUUGCUCUGCAUACUGGCAGACUUGAGGAUGGAAGAGGUUUGUGGAAUUCCUGGUGUAGCGGUGAAAUGCGCAGAUAUCAGGAGGAACACCAAUGGCGAAGGCAGCUCACUGGGACGGUAUUGACGCUGAGGAGCGAAAGCGUGGGGAGCGAACAGG
Molecule: ribosomal RNA, 253 nt
Filed under: uncultured bacterium
Lineage: Bacteria
Description: partial 16S ribosomal RNA
Rfam family: Bacterial small subunit ribosomal RNA
Source: RNAcentral